CGGACGGGUGAGUAACGCGUGGGUAACCUGCCUUAUACAAGGGGAUAACAGAGGGAAACUUCUGCUAAUACCGUAUAAAAAUAUUUCACGCAUGUGAGAUAUUUGAAAGAUUUAUCAGUAUAAGAUGGACCCGCGUCUGAUUAGGUAGUUGGUGAGGUAGAGGCUCACCAAGCCGACGAUCGGUAGCCGAUCUGAGAGGAUGACCGGCCACAUUGGGACUGAGACACGGCCCAA
RNAcentral lists this ribosomal RNA (234 nucleotides) under uncultured bacterium. Its description in RNAcentral is "partial 16S ribosomal RNA". It matches the Rfam family "Bacterial small subunit ribosomal RNA", at positions 99 to 334 of the family's 1533-position model. The record is from RNAcentral.